AUCUCUGGGGGGGUUGGUGGGUGCACCGUGUGUCUGGUGCAUACGCAUUCAAAUGCUCUGGAGCUUUGUGGAGUGGCGCAGCUUGUCACGCCAUGCAUGGCAACCACAGCAUGUGGUUUUAAGCUGUCUGUGAGGCAAUGGUGUCUUUUCUUCUGGCGUGUCUGCAACCAAGAGCACAGCUCCCCCUCGGCAUUUUCCAGUCAGUGGAGGACAGAGAGAUCAUGGUUACAGGGAAGGACCAUGGACAAGGCACCAAAAGCGAGGUGGCAAAACUUUCAGAUUGAUCCGUGGUGUGAAUUUAGGAGCCUGUUUCUACUUUCUGCUGUACAAGAGUGAGGGAUGUGGCGAGCAGAUGUGUCCAAGCGUGCAAGCACACAUGCGCCCACACCACAGAAGCGGGGAAAGUGAAACCACAGAGACACACACGGCAGGCCGCUCAGACAGAGUCGUCCAACUCUGAGGAGGAGGCAGAGGAGCAAGUGCGGGGUGAGGGCUUUGAGGUUUCAAGAUUACCGAGUGAAGACUUCCAGAUGGAGAAAGGCAGGGAGAUGUUUCAGAGCUGCAGGGGGGACUGAUAGAAACAGAGUCCCUUGAUCCAGUCAGGGGAUAUCAUGUGAAGAGAAGACCAGCUCUGAAGGUUUCACCUAACCCACAAGCAGCUGGAUCCACCUCAAGCACAGAGCCAGACGUUUUGCCAAAAGGGAGAAAAGGAGGGGAGAUUCCCACUUGGAUUCAGCCCUGGGCAUGGGCAGAGGCUUCUCCCACAUCUCAGAGUGUUUGCUUCUCUGAUCGUGACUGUGCAGGAAACAGAGAAGUGUUGAUAAAGUGUUGGGCUUUGAAGGUUUCACUUUGAGUCUACUGAAAGGGAGGGAAGUGACGUGCUCAAGACCCCCUGCUUUUGGGGAAUAUAUUUCCUCUCACCAGAGUUUCUACACUUAGUUCAAAUUGGUCUGAUCUGGAUAUACAUUGCUGCAUUUCCAUUCUACCUGUUCAUUCUUCUGGACUGCAAGGCAUAGCAACGUCAUUCUGUCCAGGACCCCAAACAAUGCGUAAAGUCUCCUGAAGUAGAGAAGCAACGCAGAGCAAAGCAGCCUGUGUUGUCCAGCCAUUAUCCAGGCCACAGCAGAAGACAGACUAAAGAAGGUGCAACGAACAAGAAGUGAGCAGAAUACCUGUGCCCAGGCCCAGCAAAAGGAAGAACCGCCAAAGGAAGGGGCUGACUGUGGAAAGGAGGAAAAAGACAAGGGUAAACCUGCAUUAUGAACAACCCAAAUGCUGAGAAAAUUGAGGUCAGUCCUGCAGCCAUUCAGAAUCCACCACCCUAUCCAGCUGUGCAGCCCUACAAGGCACCUGAUCCAUCAGCACCCCCCAUGGCAUCUGCAGCUCCUCUCCUUAUGCCACCCCAGUACCAACCCUGCCAUGCUGCACCUGGGGAAGGAUUCAACCACGGUCUGGCCCUUCAAUCUGCACAGACUGUCGUCUUCUCAGUUGCCCAGCCUGUCCAUGAACCCGAUUACCUGGCCUACUCCAUCUUUACCAUGCUCUGUUGCUUCAUACCCGUGGGGAUCGCUGCCGUGAUCUAUUCUGUAAAGACUAAAAAUGCCAACCGCUCCGGAAACAGCAGAGCUGCUCGGCAAUAUUCGUCACUGGCUCGCACCUUGGGCCACGUAUCACUUGGGGUGGGGAUAGUGGGUUCAGUUUUGUAUUUCAUUUUAAUUAGAGUUAUUUAAGGGCAUAAGAACAUCGAUCAGCACCCACCAUACAAGCCUCAGGAUCAUUCAUAAAGAGCAUUCGCCCUGAUGCACAAGUCAGAGAAAAUCCGUUUUGCCAUCACGCGCUUUGCAUCGUUUCAUCAAGAACCGCUGCUUCGCAUACGCAUAUACACAAGGCGAUUUCCAUACAAUUAAAUGCGUGACCAAACUGUGCACACUGCAAAGGACUGCAUUUGAGGGACCCUCAAGGGAUCUGGAAGCUCUGCCUAGUGCAGCCUGCCUGCCCCAGCCGAGUCUGCUCUGGAUGCUUUGGACUUCAGCUUCCAUGGCCAGCCUGGCCAAUGGCAAUGGAAGUGGGGAGCUGCAGGCCAAACUAUCCGGAGGGCCCCAGGUUGUGGAAGGCAGAGCUACUAAUAGCUUUGCAAUGGCCCAGUAGCAUCAAAUGUUUAACAUCAUACUUGAUGCAGCUCUACGAGAAAGAAAGAUCCCAACUCAAAACUAUACCAUGAGAACAGGUAUACUGGUUGUCACCAAGGUCACAUUUAAAUCACUGGCCCAGUUGAUGGAGGGACACGGCUCCUAUUUUUGACCCCUGUAUUGCCAAGAAUAAAAUAUCCAUCCCUUUAACAUUAUUCAGUGGAGGCAUAACCUAUCCUCCCUGAUGCAUAGCUCCUUUUUCCUCCCCUUUCCUAGGAUUACUUCCUAUUCUCCAACCUUCUUCCCUCGAUCUUUCCCUGGAUCACUCCCUUUUCCAGGCUUCCUGCCUAAGCUCCCUGUCUUCCCUUGACCUGCUGCCAUUGCCCUCCAACAUUUCACAGAGGAAAAGCCCUGUUUUCAUACCAUGAACUACUACCCAGGUCUUGCUUUCUAACUCCAUCCCAUUUACGGCUCUAUAUGCAAUCUACUCUCUUCAUUUUGGACUGUUUCAUCACAGAAAAUUCAGAAGUGGUUUACCAUGUCCUUCUUCCAUGCUGUACUAACCAGAGUUAGCUUGAGCGCCCCAUUCGCUGUGAAAGAUCCUCCACCAGUGUCACUUUCAGCUCCUGCUGCUGCCCUGGAGCUGCCCUUCAGGAGUUUCUCCACCAGCAGAAAGACAAACAAGGGGAUUCUUGAUCACAUCAAAGCAGAACUUUCCCCAGUAGCAAAAAAAAAGGUAAAUAAUGAGGAUGUCAUAUUUUGGAUGUAUCAUAAGAGGCAAAGCUCCCUGGAGAAGACAAUCAUGCUAGGAAAAGUAGGAGAAGGAAAGGAAGACCAAAUUUGAGAAGGAUUGACUGCAUAAAGGAAGUCACCAUCUUCAGUUUACCAAGGCUGAAUAAGACUGUUAUAAAUAGGACAUUUUGGGGGGCUUUCAUAUAUAAGGUCAGAGAUGACUUGACAGCACAUAAAAAUCUCUUGUUUAGUCUGCAGGCCCUGCCCUGCCCUGUUUUCAGUGCUAACAGCUAUGGCUCUAGAUUCUAUGAGAAAAUAUAGCAAUGUUGCCCCAUCAAUAAUCAAAGAUGCCACAUAAAAUAUCAGCAUAUGAAGCUGCCUCACCAUUGCACCAUAUCAGUAUUUUCUAUACCAAAAGUUUUCCAAAGAUUGUUGGACUACAGCCUUCUGCAUCCUGCCCAUUGGCCACAGACUAGAGUGAUGGGAAUAGGAGUCCAACAUCAUCUGGAGACCUACACGCUUUCCGCCUCUGAUCUACAUGGAGUAGCAGCUGUCCAGGGAUUCAUGCAGAAGUAUUUUCACACCUGGAGAUCCCUUGAAUUGAACCUGAGAACUUCUACAUGCAAAGCAUGCUCCUGAAGUACAGUCCUUUCCCUGCAGGAGAGUAAAUUCCAUGCAAAAUUAUUUACUGCAUUUUAAUACAGAUGCUAUAUGUAUAUAAAUUAAUUAUAUGAAUGUAUACAUGAUUGCAAGCUUCAAUUUGAUUGUGAUCACCUUUAGAAAGCACACACACAUGCAUGCACUCAUUUCCAGUGCUGGUUCUGUAAUGAUAUUUAACAAGUUCAUUAACCAGAUCUUAGGGUCGAAGCUUGAAAGCAUGUUUUGCUGACCCUCAUAAAUGUCUAGUAAUAAUGUGAUAAAUGAAAGGAAUGUCUGUUUUAGCAUUACUUAGUUUCUUGGUGGCUUACAAAAUAGGGGAGCACAAGUUAGGAUUGUAAUACAACAAAUAGGAAAUGUACAUAGCAGCUAUAAAAUAGACUGUGUCCAAUGAUCAAGGGAAUAUCUACACCAUUGAACAAUAGCCCGGGCCACAACAAGUAGGAAAUAUGAUAGUCCCCUCAGCAUUUAUCCAUCUGUGCAUUUCAUGAACUGGGUUUAUUUCGCUUGAUGCAAGGCAUGAGGAUGGCUUUCCUAGUUAUUUACUAGCCAACAAAAGCUGUUUGCUUCAUUAAAGUUAUCUGAAAUCCC
This is a long non-coding RNA of Varanus komodoensis (Komodo dragon), 4109 nucleotides long. RefSeq lists it as uncharacterized. The transcript is spliced from 2 exons. The record is from RefSeq and is a predicted model, not a curated record. NCBI's taxonomy places the organism in Eukaryota, Metazoa, Chordata, Lepidosauria, Squamata, Varanidae.